This 73-nucleotide transfer RNA is filed under the name Ailuropoda melanoleuca (giant panda). It matches the Rfam family "tRNA". Rfam says of the family: Transfer RNA (tRNA) molecules are approximately 80 nucleotides in length. Their secondary structure includes four short double-helical elements and three loops (D, anti-codon, and T loops). The record is from Rfam by way of RNAcentral. Lineage: Eukaryota; Metazoa; Chordata; Mammalia; Carnivora; Ursidae.
GCCUGACUGGCUCAGUUAGAAGAGCAUGAGACUCUUGAUCUCAGGGUUGUAAGUUCAAGCCCCAUGUUAGGUG